Molecule: non-coding RNA, 226 nt
Filed under: Stenotrophomonas sp.
Lineage: Bacteria; Pseudomonadati; Pseudomonadota; Gammaproteobacteria; Lysobacterales; Lysobacteraceae
Also listed under: 1 other name
Source: RNAcentral
ACACUGCGCGCACUUUCAGGUGACCUGCGGCGCAUGCCGGCAGGUUGAAACGGGAAGCCGGUGACGCAACAGGUCCUGCCUGCUGCCAGUCCGGCACUGCCCCCGCAACGGUAAGCGUGGAAAAGCCAGGCAAUACGCCACUGUGCUCGUGCAUGGGAAGGCGCCUGGUGCGAUGGCAUGCCAUCGGCCCGCAAGUCCGGAGACCGGCCUGGAAGACGACGGGUUG